UGUAGUUCCAUAGCAUAUGAAACCUGUGGUAAGCGCUAAGGGAACUACAGCUUUGACGGGCUUGUCAAGCCGACCACUUCCGGGUUGCCGGUUUGGCGUUUGUGUAGGCUGGUAGGAUAUCAGCCCUGGCGUUAACGUGACUGGCGCAGACGCUGUUGGUAGCUGCUGGGCCAUUAAAUGUAAUUGUGCCAGAAUAUCAGGAACCCAUCCAUCCAUCCAUCCAUCCAGCUGGCAUUUGAGAAUGACCUCAGUAGAAAAUUCAAAGAAGAAUGGAAGGAGAUACUGCUGAGGAGGUUCCACUCAUCGAACAGAAGACUGCAGCUUUAUUGAGUAAAGUGAGCCUGGGGUUUUUAAAAGCGGAGACCGGGAGUCUUCGGGAGUGAACGCCGGAGAGACGACGGAACUGCACAGAAUUACCGAACUAAAAACAAAGGAUCUGUGUUACGUUGUGGCCAAGCGAAGCCGUGUGCUUAAUAAAAGAGCACGGAGUGCUAAAAAACCAAACCUUGUCUCACGUGAGUCUGUUGGAAGGCAGGAGGGGUGGCACUCACUUGCCACAAUAAUUAAUAAUUCAUAUGCUAUAUAUCUAUUAGGUAAGGAACAAUCAGAUGAUGCUCCAGUUGAGGCACAAGUUGAGGCAGCCGUAAGUGCAGAUGAAGAACAGCUCAGGGAUGUGCUAGCGGCCAGUGAGGUGCUAGAAACCAGGGAGGAAGCCAGAGAGGUGCUAGAGGCCAUGGAGGAUGCUGGAGAGGUGCGAGAAGAGUUUAGAGAGAUGCUUGAGACCUCAGAGAUGACCUAUGAGGAACCCAGGGAUGAUGUCAGAGAGGAGCUAGAAGCCGGGGAUGAUGUUGAGCAGCAACGAGGGAGAAAGAGAAAAAAGGGAACCUAACAAUUGGCAAAGGAAUCAACGCAAACGCUUAAGAAAUGCUGGCCUGAGCUACAUAAACAGCAAGAAGAAGUCAGUGCUAGCCAGGGCAGUAAAACCAAAGGAUUGCACGACAUGCAGAUACAAGUGCAACGCAAAAGUCGGAG
Molecule: long non-coding RNA, 1032 nt
Organism: Anguilla anguilla (European eel)
Lineage: Eukaryota; Metazoa; Chordata; Actinopteri; Anguilliformes; Anguillidae
Exons: 4
Source: RefSeq, a predicted model, not a curated record